CCUACGGGAGGCUGCAGUGGGGAAUAUUGCACAAUGGAGGGAACUCUGAUGCAGCGACGCCGCGUGAGUGAAGAAGUAUUUCGUUAUGUAAAGCUCUAUCAGCAGGGAAGAACAUGACGGUACCUGACAAAGAAGCUCCGGCUAAAUACGUGCCAGCAGCCGCGGUAAUACGUAUGGAGCAAGCGUUAUCCGGAUUUACUGGGUGUAAAGGGAGAGUAGACGGCAGAGCAAGUCCGAAGUGAAAUCCCAUGGCUGAACGAUGGAAAUGCUUUAGAAACUGUGCAGCUAGAGUGCAGGAGAGGCAAGGGGAAGUCUUAGUGUAGCGGUGGAAGGCGUAGAUAUAAGGAGGAACACCAGUGGCGAAGGCGGCUGGCUGGUCUGUAACUGACGCUGAGGCUCGAAAGCGUGGGGAGCAAACAGGAUUAGAGACCCGUGUAGUC
RNAcentral lists this ribosomal RNA (440 nucleotides) under uncultured bacterium. RNAcentral describes it as "partial 16S ribosomal RNA". It matches the Rfam family "Bacterial small subunit ribosomal RNA", at positions 338 to 795 of the family's 1533-position model. The record is from RNAcentral.